CCUGACCAAAGUGGCCAAAGACACCAGAAAUUACACUGCUGUGAAGACCCACCACAGCCCCAUAGGCAAGUCCUGUCACAAAGCCCAGAAACCCUCCUGUGCUCUUCUGGGAGAUCCCACAGCUCCUGUGUCUCUCCCGUCACUCCUGGGACCAUGGAAGCAAGUGUCACUUUGCCUCCCCCAAAAGGUGGGCAUAGUGGUGCUCAGGAAGUACUCAUAGGCUCACGGAAGAAGGAACUACUCAGCCGGAUGCAAAAGCAGCCCUUUGCAUUCUUCUCCAUUCCAGUAUUGACCUAGGAAGGUCAAAGCUACCAUUUGGCCCAUCCUUCCUCACCCCAGCCAACUGCACAUCGUGAAUGAUGAACAGCAUAUGCACACAGCAUGUGGGCCAGGGACAGUUUUGGUUAUGAAAGUCAAAGGCACUCUAGGUUAAAGCUUCAACAAGGAGGGAAUCUGUGGGAAGCAAGUAACCCACAGGACGCAAGCCCAUUUCUUUAGACAGAAGAGGCCAAGCCAGGCCAGAGAAGACUCCCCCGCGCUGCCUCUUCCUCAGCAGAAGAUCCUCACAUCAUGCCACAAUACUUGUUUUUAGUCUGUUCCCAUAGCUUUGCUACUGUGCCAUUUUCCAGCUCAUCUGACUCCCCCUGACCCCCCAUCAAUCAUCUGUUCUGGAGGCUUUGUGCCAAGUUUUCAGAGAUCCAUAGUAAUUAAAUUUAAAUUAAAAAUCACUCAGAUGCUACCUUUUUGCUAAGGUGGUUAUGACAGAAAUGAAAUGAACCAAGAGGCAGAGAGCAGCAAAAGUUGCUCUGUACAUCUGAACCUUUCUAACAUGCCCUGCUGGCUCCCAGCUUGUUAGCUCUGGAGCCUGGGAAGAAGUCUCCUUUCUCCAUAGGUACAAAACCCUCUGAGCAAACCAAGCUAAGCACUAUGCAAAUAUGGCUGUCAAG
This 947-nucleotide long non-coding RNA is filed under the name Marmota monax (woodchuck). Lineage: Eukaryota; Metazoa; Chordata; Mammalia; Rodentia; Sciuridae. The record is from RNAcentral.